This 389-nucleotide RNase P RNA is filed under the name Thermoclostridium caenicola. RNAcentral's name for it is "Clostridium caenicola Bacterial RNase P class A". It matches the Rfam family "Bacterial RNase P class A". From Rfam's summary of the family: Ribonuclease P (RNase P) is a ubiquitous endoribonuclease, found in archaea, bacteria and eukarya as well as chloroplasts and mitochondria. The record is from Rfam by way of RNAcentral. Lineage: Bacteria; Bacillati; Bacillota; Clostridia; Eubacteriales; Oscillospiraceae.
UGAGUAGGUUGAAUGGUCGCGGGCGCAGUGCCGAAAGGCCGCGCACGAGGAAAGUCCGGGCUCCGCAGGGCAGGGUGCCGGGUAAUACCCGGUGAAGGCGACUUCAAGGAAAGUGCAACAGAAAUAAACCGCUGGGGAUGAAAAGUGUGGAUGGUUCCUGCCGGAACCGGCAAGCGCUUUCUCCUCAGCAAGGGUGGAAAGGCGAGGUAAGAGCUCACCGGCCCGACGGCAACGAAGGGCGCUCUGCAAACCCCACCUGGAGCAACACCGUGACGAGGAGCGAUAGGUGGCCCGCCUGUUCCUCAGAGGUGGCUGGAGCCAUGUAGCAAUACAUGGCCUGGAUAGAUGAUCAUUCUCGACAGAACCCGGCUUACAGACCUACUCAUCUC